RNAcentral lists this ribosomal RNA (489 nucleotides) under uncultured bacterium. RNAcentral describes it as "partial 16S ribosomal RNA". It matches the Rfam family "Bacterial small subunit ribosomal RNA", at positions 28 to 507 of the family's 1533-position model. The record is from RNAcentral.
GACGAACGCUGGCGGCGUGCUUAACACAUGCAAGUCGAACGGAAAGGCCCCCAUCUUGGUGGGGGUGCUCGAGUGGCGAACGGGUGAGUAACACGUGGGUGAUCUGCCCUGUACUUCGGGAUAAGCUUGGGAAACUGGGUCUAAUACCGGAUAGGACCAUGGUUUAGUGUCUCAUGGUGGAAAGAUUAUUGUUUUGGUGCAGGAUGAGCUCGCGGCCUAUCAGCUUGUUGGUGGGGUAAUGGCCUACCAAGGCGUCGACGGGUAGCCGGCCUGAGAGGGUGGACGGCCACAUUGGGACUGAGAUACGGCCCAGACUCCUACGGGAGGCAGCAGUGGGGAAUAUUGCACAAUGGGCGCAAGCCUGAUGCAGCGACGCCGCGUGGGGGAUGACGGCCUUCGGGUUGUAAACUCCUUUCGUUAGGGACGAAGCCGCACUUUUUUUGGGUGUGGUGACGGUACCUUUGUUAAGAAGCACCGGCUAACCACGUG